CCUACGGGAGGCAGCAGUGAGGAAUAUUGGUCAAUGGCCGCAGGGCUGAACCAGCCAAGUCGCGUGAGGGAUGACGGUCCUAUGGAUUGUAAACCUCUUUUGUCGGGGAGCAAAGAGAGUCACGUGUGACUCAUUGAGAGUACCCGAAGAAAAAGCAUCGGCUAACUCCGUGCCAGCAGCCGCGGUAAUACGGAGGAUGCGAGCGUUAUCCGGAUUUAUUGGGGUUAAAGGGUGCGCAGGGGGCCUGUUAAGUCAGCGGGAAAAGGCCGGGGCUCAACCCCGGCGGGCCGUUGAAACUGGCGGGGCUGAGUGUGAGGGAAGGAAGGGGAAUGGGGGGGGUAGCGGUGAA
This 349-nucleotide ribosomal RNA is filed under the name uncultured bacterium. Its description in RNAcentral is "partial 16S ribosomal RNA". It matches the Rfam family "Bacterial small subunit ribosomal RNA", at positions 338 to 685 of the family's 1533-position model. The record is from RNAcentral.